GGGUCAGUAGGUUGGUCGUGCCACCGGUACGUACUGGUCUCACUGAUUCCUCCUUCCUGAAGAACCGUAAUGCCAUUAAUUUGGUGUUGCGGGGAAACAGGACUGUUACUUCGAAAAAAUUAGAGUGUUUAAAGCAAGCUAACGCUUGAAUACACUAGCAUGGAAUAAUGAAAUAGGACGAUCGAUCCUAUUUUGUUGGUUUCUAGGAUUGACGUA
This 216-nucleotide ribosomal RNA is filed under the name Glomeromycotina sp. RNAcentral's name for it is "partial small subunit ribosomal RNA". The stretch from base 44 to 216 matches the Rfam family "Eukaryotic small subunit ribosomal RNA", at positions 690 to 864 of the family's 1831-position model. The record is from RNAcentral. Lineage: Eukaryota; Fungi; Glomeromycota.